GAACCGGACGAACGUUAUUCGGGAAUUAUUGGGCUUAAAGGGGUGCGUAGGCGGCUUGGCAAGUUGGAUGUGAAAGCCCUCGGGCUCAACCGAGGAAUAGCGUCCAAAACUGCCAGACUCGAGGGAGACAGAGGCGAGCGGAACUUAGGGUGGAGCGGUGAAAUGCGUUGAUAUCCUAAGGAACACCAGUGGCGAAGGCGGCUCGCUGGGUCUCUUCUGACGCUGAGGCACGAAAGCUAGGGGAGCGAACGGGAUUAGAUACCCCGGUAGUCCUAGCUGUAAACGAUGAGCACUUGGUUGGAGGAUUUUCACUGAUUUUCCGGCCGUAGCGAAAGUGUUAAGUGCUCCGCCUGGGGAGUAUGGUCGCAAAGGCUG
This 375-nucleotide ribosomal RNA is filed under the name uncultured organism. RNAcentral describes it as "partial 16S ribosomal RNA". It matches the Rfam family "Bacterial small subunit ribosomal RNA", at positions 527 to 896 of the family's 1533-position model. The record is from RNAcentral.